UUUUUUGUUUUCGAUUCCUCUUCUGCUUUUGUUUUUGUUUUUUUAACUUCCCUAAUUUUGCUUGAACUGAUUUUUUGCUUACAGUCUAUCGGGAUACCCUAAUUUUUACCUAAGCCACUUGUUUUCAAGUUUCGACUUAACGAUCUUUCUUUUUUUUUAUAAUUUUUUUUUGGUGGAAUAAAUCGUGUGACAUUUGUUCAUUUGGUUUGAAAUAUUUGUGACUGUCUCACUUUUUUUUGGCGAGGGACAACCAUUGGGUUUGUGAUUUCGACCUCUAUUGAAGGAAAU
Molecule: long non-coding RNA, 288 nt
Filed under: Lathyrus oleraceus (garden pea)
Lineage: Eukaryota; Viridiplantae; Streptophyta; Magnoliopsida; Fabales; Fabaceae
Description: Pisum sativum (pea) long non-coding RNA (PSAT_LNC025117)
Source: RNAcentral